UUAGCUCAGUUGGUAGAGCAGUUGACUUUUAAUCAAUUGGUCGCAGGUUCGAAUCCA
Molecule: transfer RNA, 57 nt
Filed under: Salmonella enterica subsp. enterica serovar Schwarzengrund
Lineage: Bacteria; Pseudomonadati; Pseudomonadota; Gammaproteobacteria; Enterobacterales; Enterobacteriaceae
Description: tRNA-Lys
Rfam family: tRNA
About the family: Transfer RNA (tRNA) molecules are approximately 80 nucleotides in length. Their secondary structure includes four short double-helical elements and three loops (D, anti-codon, and T loops). Further hydrogen bonds mediate the characteristic L-shaped molecular structure. tRNAs have two regions of fundamental functional importance: the anti-codon, which is responsible for specific mRNA codon recognition, and the 3' end, to which the tRNAs corresponding amino acid is attached (by aminoacyl-tRNA synthetases). tRNAs cope with the degeneracy of the genetic code in two manners: having more than one tRNA (with a specific anti-codon) for a particular amino acid; and 'wobble' base-pairing, i.e. permitting non-standard base-pairing at the 3rd anti-codon position.
Source: RNAcentral